CCUACGGGGGGCUGCAGUGGGGAAUAUUGGACAAUGGGGGGAACCCUGAUCCAGCCAUGCCGCGUGUGUGAAGAAGGCCCUCGGGUUGUAAAGCACUUUCAGUGAGGAAGAACGCCUGGUGGUUAAUACCCAUCAGGAAAGACAUCACUCACAGAAGAAGCACCGGCUAACUCCGUGCCAGCAGCCGCGGUAAUACGGAGGGUGCGAGCGUUAAUCGGAAUUACUGGGCGUAAAGCGCGCGUAGGUGGCUUGAUAAGCCGGUUGUGAAAGCCCCGGGCUCAACCUGGGAACGGCAUCCGGAACUGUCAAGCUAGAGUGCAGGAGAGGAAGGGAGAAUUCCCGGUGUAGCGGUGAAAUGCGUAGAGAUCGGGAGGAAUACCAGUGGCGAAGGCGGCCUUCUGGACUGACACUGACACUGAGGUGCGAAAGCGUGGGUAGCAAACAGGAUUAGUACCCCGUAGUC
This 463-nucleotide ribosomal RNA is filed under the name Vreelandella stevensii. RNAcentral describes it as "partial 16S ribosomal RNA". It matches the Rfam family "Bacterial small subunit ribosomal RNA", at positions 338 to 795 of the family's 1533-position model. Lineage: Bacteria; Pseudomonadati; Pseudomonadota; Gammaproteobacteria; Oceanospirillales; Halomonadaceae. The record is from RNAcentral.